CGUGACCCGGCGCCGAGGCGCGGCCGGUUCGCGGGUUGCGCGUCGCUCCGCUCCCCCGGUGCGGGCGGGCGCGCUAACCACCCCCCCCCCCCCCCAACACCGGCCGCGCUGCGCCGGGGGGCGGUUUCCCUCACGCGUGGCCCCGUCCCGUCCCGCCGGUUCCCCCUGCGGCGCCGCUCCGGGCCCGCCCCCUUCCCUCGGCUGGGAACGUGUCGAUACAGGUUCAACCAAUGAAGCAACCAGACAGACUGGAUGCUGAGAACUAAGAGGAAAUGUCUUCAAAAGAAAUUAUGUUGCUUGACCAAAGGACUGGGGGUACCUACAAGUUGCCUUUUCAGAUAAAAGAGAUUGUAUGAAAGCGGUCAUGACCUGGGAAUUUCUGAGAAGAGAAUUUGGAGCUGAUACAGAGGCAGAUUAAAACCAGAGAUGCAGAAUCAAAA
Molecule: long non-coding RNA, 440 nt
Organism: Rhea pennata
Lineage: Eukaryota; Metazoa; Chordata; Aves; Rheiformes; Rheidae
Exons: 3
Source: RefSeq, a predicted model, not a curated record